CAAAACAUGUCCUAUAGAUUUUAAUUUUAGGUCUAACCUGCCCACUGAUAUUAUUAAAUGGCCGCAGUAUUCUAACUGUGCAAAGGUAGCAUAAUCAUUAGUCUUUUAAUUGAAGGCUUGUAUGAAUGGUUGGACGAAAUAUAAACUGUCUCAUAUUAAAUUUAUAAUAGAAUUUUAUUUUUUAGUUAAAAAGCUAAAAUUUUGUUGAAAGACGAGAAGACCCUAUAGAUCUUUAUAAAUAUAAUAUUUAUUAUUAUUUAGAUUUAUUAAAUAUUAAUUAUUAUAUUUAUUUUGUUGGGGUGACAUUAAAAUUUAUAUAACUUUUAAUUUAUUUUUACAUUUAUUUAUGAGUUACAUGAUCCAUUAUUAGUGAUUAUAAAAUUAAGUUACCUUAGGGAUAACAGCGUAAUCUUUUUAGAGAGUUCAUAUCGAUAAAAAGGUUUGCGACCUCGAUGUUGGAUUAAAAUUAAUCUUGGGUGUAGCAGUUCAAGAUAUUAAGUCUGUUCGACUUUUAAUUUUUUACAUGAUCU
RNAcentral lists this ribosomal RNA (530 nucleotides) under Iranotrichia insolita. RNAcentral's name for it is "partial 16S ribosomal RNA". It matches the Rfam family "Bacterial large subunit ribosomal RNA", at positions 1809 to 2606 of the family's 2925-position model. Lineage: Eukaryota; Metazoa; Arthropoda; Insecta; Diptera; Scenopinidae. The record is from RNAcentral.